Molecule: ribosomal RNA, 468 nt
Filed under: uncultured bacterium
Lineage: Bacteria
Description: partial 16S ribosomal RNA
Rfam family: Bacterial small subunit ribosomal RNA
Source: RNAcentral
GACGAACGCUGGCGGCGUGCUUAACACAUGCAAGUCGAACGGCAAGGCCCUGCUUUUGUGGGGUGCUCGAGUGGCGAACGGGUGAGUAACACGUGAGUAACCUGCCCUUGACUUUGGGAUAACUUCAGGAAACUGGGGCUAAUACCGGAUAGGAGCUCCCGCUGCAUGGUGGGGGUUGGAAAGUUUCGGCGGGUGGGGAUGGACUCGCGGCUUAUCAGCUUGUUGGUGGGGUAGUGGCUUACCAAGGCUUUGACGGGUAGCCGGCCUGAGAGGGUGACCGGCCACAUGAGGACUGAGAUACGGCCCAGACUCCUACGGGAGGCAGCAGUGGGGAAUAUUGCCCAAUGGGCGGAAGCCUGAUGCAGCAACGCCGCGUGCGGGAUGACGGCCUUCGGGUUGUAAACCGCUUUCGCCUGUGACGAAGCGUGAGUGACGGUAAUGAGUAAAGAAGCACCGGCUAACUACGUG